Long non-coding RNA from Oncorhynchus keta (chum salmon), 546 nucleotides. RefSeq lists it as uncharacterized. The record is from RefSeq and is a predicted model, not a curated record. The transcript is spliced from 3 exons. Lineage: Eukaryota; Metazoa; Chordata; Actinopteri; Salmoniformes; Salmonidae.
CCUCCAGGUUUGGUGAAAGGACCAACACCGAACCUCUUGCCAUGGGCAAGUUCCUUGAUUGGUACCAGGAAGGGUGGGAAAACAACCUGAAGGUAAUUCUCCUUGCACACAACAGUAGCAUCUAGACCGAGUACGGGCGGGCGCCGCAGCUGUUGAAUGAGGCAAACAACACAAUUGUAUAUACAAUUAUUGCAUAUACUGUAGUCUUAUAAAUUUGUGAUCGACUUAGUGUUGUUUGACUAUUGCUAUUUUGUAUAACGUACUUUUAGAUCACUGAAACUCCACCUGAUGUGGUGGAAGUUGUCGAACCAGAUCAGAACACCUUCGAGGACUACCUUCAGGCACGGACUGAGAACGAUGUGGAGAUUUUUGACCAGGGAUACCUCGGUGGAAGCCAACAAUCUUCUACAGUUGGAGAAGUUGGACGGUCGACCACUGGAAGCACUGACGCCCUACACUUCAGUGAAGCCCAAAAGACAAAGACCAUCGACUGUCCGAGCCCCCCAGGAGGUAUCCCAUCCACCAGAACCAGUGAGUCCAAAUCAG